CCUACGGGCGGCAGCAGUGAGGAAUAUUGGUCAAUGGACGAGAGUCUGAACCAGCCAAGUAGCGUGAAGGAUGACUGCCCUAUGGGUUGUAAACUUCUUUUAUAAAGGAAUAAAACGAGGCACGUGUGCCUUUUUGCAUGUACUUUAUGAAUAAGGAUCGGCUAACUCCGUGCCAGCAGCCGCGGUAAUACGGAGGAUCCGAGCGUUAUCCGGAUUUAUUGGGUUUAAAGGGAGCGUAGAUGGGUUGUUAAGUCAGUUGUGAAAUUUUGCGGCUCAACCGUAAAAUUGCAAUUGAUACUGGCAGUCUUGAGUACAGUUGAGGUAGGCGGAAUUCGUGGUGUAGCGGUGAAAUGCUUAGAUAUCACGAAGAACCCCGAUUGCGAAGGCAGCUUACUAAACUGUGACUGACAUUGAUGCUCGAAAGUGUGGGUAUCAAACAGGAUUAGAUACCCCUGUAGUC
RNAcentral lists this ribosomal RNA (460 nucleotides) under uncultured bacterium. Its description in RNAcentral is "partial 16S ribosomal RNA". It matches the Rfam family "Bacterial small subunit ribosomal RNA", at positions 338 to 795 of the family's 1533-position model. The record is from RNAcentral.